This 922-nucleotide ribosomal RNA is filed under the name Staphylococcus pasteuri. RNAcentral describes it as "bacterial SSU rRNA". It matches the Rfam family "Bacterial small subunit ribosomal RNA", at positions 61 to 962 of the family's 1533-position model. Lineage: Bacteria; Bacillati; Bacillota; Bacilli; Caryophanales; Staphylococcaceae. The record is from RNAcentral.
GUCGAGCGAACAGAUGAGGAGCUUGCUCCUUUGACGUUAGCGGCGGACGGGUGAGUAACACGUGGAUAACCUACCUAUAAGACUGGGAUAACUUCGGGAAACCGGAGCUAAUACCGGAUAAGAUUUUGAACCGCAUGGUUCAAUAGUGAAAGACGGCCUUGCUGUCACUUAUAGAUGGAUCCGCGCCGUAUUAGCUAGUUGGUAAGGUAACGGCUUACCAAGGCAACGAUACGUAGCCGACCUGAGAGGGUGAUCGGCCACACUGGAACUGAGACACGGUCCAGACUCCUACGGGAGGCAGCAGUAGGGAAUCUUCCGCAAUGGGCGAAAGCCUGACGGAGCAACGCCGCGUGAGUGAUGAAGGUCUUCGGAUCGUAAAACUCUGUUAUCAGGGAAGAACAAACGUGUAAGUAACUGUGCACGUCUUGACGGUACCUGAUCAGAAAGCCACGGCUAACUACGUGCCAGCAGCCGCGGUAAUACGUAGGUGGCAAGCGUUAUCCGGAAUUAUUGGGCGUAAAGCGCGCGUAGGCGGUUUUUUAAGUCUGAUGUGAAAGCCCACGGCUCAACCGUGGAGGGUCAUUGGAAACUGGAAAACUUGAGUGCAGAAGAGGAAAGUGGAAUUCCAUGUGUAGCGGUGAAAUGCGCAGAGAUAUGGAGGAACACCAGUGGCGAAGGCGACUUUCUGGUCUGUAACUGACGCUGAUGUGCGAAAGCGUGGGGAUCAAACAGGAUUAGAUACCCUGGUAGUCCACGCCGUAAACGAUGAGUGCUAAGUGUUAGGGGGGUUUCCGCCCCUUAGUGCUGCAGCUAACGCAUUAAGCACUCCGCCUGGGGGAGUACGACCGCAAGGGUUGAAACUCAAAGGAAUUGACGGGGACCCGCACAAGCGGUGGAGCAUGUGGUUAAUUCGAAGCAACGC